This 226-nucleotide unclassified non-coding RNA is filed under the name uncultured fungus. RNAcentral describes it as "partial contains 18S rRNA, ITS1, 5.8S rRNA, ITS2 and 28S rRNA". Lineage: Eukaryota; Fungi. The record is from RNAcentral.
AAGGAUCAUUACUGAGUUUGGGUGCUUUUAUUGCACCGACUUUUUUUUUCACCCUUGCGACUCAACUAUUUUGCUUGGUGGGCCAGGUUUGCCCCGUUGAAUUUUUUCAGCGAGUGCCCGCCAAAGUUUUUUUUUUCCAAAAAAAUCUGCUGAAAACGUGGUCAUCUGAAUUUUUGCAAAUAUUAUAAUAACUAAAAAACUUUCAACAACGGAUCUCUUGGUUCUG